This is a long non-coding RNA of Oxyura jamaicensis (ruddy duck), 6797 nucleotides long. RefSeq lists it as uncharacterized. Lineage: Eukaryota; Metazoa; Chordata; Aves; Anseriformes; Anatidae. The record is from RefSeq and is a predicted model, not a curated record. The transcript has 2 exons.
GAAAAAAAGUGGCAAAGAUCAAAACUGCUAUUGCCACAUCUGCCACCUGUGACUAGCAGCAAUGCUCAGUGAACAGGGAAUAAAUGAGGUAAGAAGAAAAAAGAACAGGCUGGUGCUGCCUGAACAAUAUCACUGUCCCAUGUUUCCGACUGUACAGUUGAGGUUAAAGCCUCCCUGGAGUAAUACUGCAACAUCUGGGGCCAUGUCUCCAACAAAGCAGCCCUUUUCCAGGAAGACGUUUCUGAUAGCUCUGCAUCCAGAUUCCUGUUUCUUGACAGAAGACAAGGCCGUCAGAGAGGCUGUGGGAGAAAAGGUGAGUCUGAGUAUUUGGAAGACUAGGUAAGAAGCAGAAGUGUGGACACACGGAGAGGAUGCAUGUGAAUAUACAGGACAGGCCUGAGGAUAUCUUUGUGAGAAAGCAAGUAGGAGUAUGUGCUCUUGCUGAGUGCGGAGACAUGCCACGCUGUUUGUUGUUGCAAGCAUAUGGGAUUGUUUGCAAAAUGGCUUCAGAUCAAUGGGUCAACUCUCCAGUUGCUAAGCCCCUGCCACUCUGGGUUCACUAUUCUUAUACCACGAGCUGCUGUAGCUGUACCGGGAAGGUACAAGAGCAGAGAAGCACACUAAGUGGGAAAUGAGCAAGUGUCACGAAACAAAAUCAAUAGCCUGGAGCCAAAGCUGUUUCUCUCCCUUUCCUGUCUCUGAUCUGUGUGUGUGCAUGCGUGUGUGUGUGUGUAACUCCAGGGCUUCUUUACCUCCUCCAUUCCCUUCUUUCCCUGCCACUGCAAAUGUUGCAGAGCAUGAUAAUGAAAGCUGGUGUCCAAGCCACCAGACAAGCCCAUCACUGCAAUCAGAACAACUGCGUGAGAUAGCAGCCUGCAGGCUCAUCAAGCUGUCCUGACGCUGGCCAGCCUCAUGCACAUGAAGAUGCCAAUCUCGCCUCUCUCCCGUUCCUCCUCCUCCUCUUUGGCAGCCCAGUCUCCUCACCCUCCUCCUGCUGCCACGUCCCCUUCCUCGCCCUCCCCCUCUCCUCCAUCCAUGCGCAGCACCAGAGGACCGCCAGCCUGGGCCACAUCCCAGCCUUGUCUCUUAACGAUUCUGAUAGGAAAUGCCCAGCAGGCUGAAUCUUUCCUAGAAAAGGAAGGGGAGGUCGGAAGGCAUAUGGUUGCUGUCCUCUGAGCUCCGGGUGACAAGGUCUGUGAUGCUGCCUCCUUCCCAGGCAGAAAAGGGAAAAAAAGAGAGAGAGAAAGAGAAAUAUCGCCUGCCUGGGCUUUGGGAAAUCACAGGCUGCUCCCUGCAGUGAGCGAGCCUCUCUGACCCUGUGCCACACUGCUGGGCACGUAUCACACCAUGCUGGCAUAGUAGAGGCUGGCAUUGUCCUAAAAUGAGAAGUUAAAAAUGCAGAGAGCCUGAAAUCUCUCAGCUUGUGUGUUUAACACAGUCACGGGAUGCUCCUCUCUUUGAGAGAACAAACAUCGCGCUGCCUCUCCUUCCUGACCUAGAAUCACAAGUUUUUAGGCACAUUUGGUACCAAAGACGAACCUCAAAGAGAGGACAGUGUCUUUGCAACUUCUAUUGUCAUUGCUGGCAGAUGUUUUGCCCAGUUCCGCUCACAUCAUUACUUAAAACCCUGCUGGAACUGAGAGUUAUCUGACUGUCCAGGCUGUGAGCUGGGCCGAAUGUCUAGGCUGCUUGUGAUGACAAGAGCAACAUGAUCUCUGGAGAACAAGCUCACCACUGCACGGGAUGGGGAAGGUGGGCACAGAGCUGGCAACGGGCUGCACUCUGCUCAGAGACUCACUGGACACUGGUCAACCAAAUUCAGCAGCUGAAAAGAAGCAGGACAUCACUUCUCCCACUUGCUGUACAGACCCUACUGCAACAACCCCUGUCCUAGUCAUCUGUGCCACUGGCAUGAAGGGAAGUUAGCAAUUUUGCAUUUUAACCCCAGGUAUAGGGUGAGCUUAGGUUAUUGCACCGUAGGCCUUCUACAGGAUUGUCUUUCACCAGCAGCGUGUUCUCAUAAAACACAGAAUGGAACUACACAUUUCCCCACUAAAUGAGCACAAGGGUUCUUCUUUCAUACAAAUGAGUUCUCUCAACAUAUGAAUUCACUGAUCUCUCUUAUUGAACCUACAUAAAGCUGCUUUCCAAACCAUACACCUCACCUUUAAUAAUCAAUAUUUCCUUUCCACUUGCUCAACUUUCAAGGUCAUAUGUUGAACAGAUUAUUCACACUUUUAGAAAUCUCCUCUUAGGCUGAUGCUAGCACUGACAUUAUGAGGAAUUUAAAGCAAAAACACAUUGAACCCGGCUUGGGGUUGACUUGCCAAUGGAAUCUUAGGCCAAAAAAAAAAAAAAAAAAAAAAAAAAAAAAGAAGAAGAAAGUGCUGUUUGUCCGAAGUAAAAGGGCAAAUAAAAUCAUUUCCAGGCUUUUAAAGAAGCUAUUACAUAUAGCAAAGUAAAAGAAAGAUUACUUGAUGACAGUGGCCUUUUAAAAUCUUACAGAGAGCAGGAGCACUAAGCAGUUAGCCAAAGGCUAUCUAUAUUCUGCUACUCCUACACGUGCUCCUAGCUCCUGCUUUAGAAAAUGUCCUUUCACAGUCAUGGCACUGUAUUCAGAACACGGAACAAUUACCUGUAAUCCUACACGCUAUCAUAUCCAUUGAUUCCACGCAGUAGCUUUUAAAAAUAUUUAUCUAAAUGGGAUUCGAGCGUGCCGUAAUACUAGCCUGCAUUUGGAACGCAGUGCUAACUAUAAGCAGAAUGAAACAGAAGAAAAGUUCAGGAGCUUUUUGUUGUCUUUUCUUUUAAACACAAAAUGUCUCCAUUAUCAAGAUGAUUUUAUCCUAGAAGCAGAGAAAUAGAUUAGUUACACCAAAUGCCAGUGAGCACCAUCACCUCUAGGAAGCUGUGGCUAGCCACAGCACUAAACAAGGUAUUUGCUGCAGCUGAGCUUGUGCCAGAGUCUCCAUACCUGCAUGGGGAAUGCAUUGGUUUGGACAGGGCUGAGUCUAGCAGAAAAACCCAAGAGCUCGCCAAGUACAACAGCCCAGAUCUGUUCAGUCUCAGUACAAGACGAACUUCAGGUUCAAACAUCUCAGCUCUGAUAUGGAACCGAAAGGGGGCUGUUUCCUGGAAAUGAUUAAAUGGAACUCACCCCACUGAAAAUCCUCAGUGAGAUCCUACAUCACAACAGGCUGAUGCCUCUAAAGACCUCGCUGUAUUCCCACCACGAUUUGGCCUUAAACCUGAAGUUUCAACACCCAGUUUACCACCCCCACCAGAGUGCUACUCUACCAUUAACUACUGUUUUAUCUUCAACACCAUUUUUACCCAAGGAUCUGAAAGCGCUCUGCCAAUAUCAGAUUUAACAAUUCCAGUCAUCCCCUGUCUUGGAGGCAACUAAGGCUUAUUGCCCUUCUGUGGCAGACAGAUACAUUACUCACAAGGAGCUGACAUGAGAUGGAGAAGGUCAAACAGUAAUGAAGUGGCAGUGGUUUGGAGGAGAACCCAGAAGUCCAGUAGCCCAGACCCCUGUUUAAUCUCGUAGACUUCCCUAUAACCAGUUUUUAUGUUUCAGAAGGAAAAGAAGAGUAACGACUGACUUUUCAAAUGUCUAAACAGAAGUAGGGGAAAAAAAUAUCAAGUGUGCUAGGCUGUCUGACUGUUACAAAAUGCUUGUAAAUGCAGAUUAACCUCCCCUCAGUCCAUUUCACAUUCAAAGGAGGUAGCUAGUCUAUCCACCAGCCACCAGAGCAACGUGAGAGACAUCAGGACACCAUCACAAAUACCAUGCUCAUCUCCAAACAAGUUAAGUUCCUAAUUCAUACUUUCGCUUGGGAGAUCUGCCUGUCUAAGCCUCAAGGGAACACCUGUAUUUUCCAAUUUUUUUAAUCAAAAGGAAUGUGCUGAGUGCUCAGUCUAGCAGUAAUUAUCAGUCUUGGCCACCUUCAGCCAUAACUGGGGGGCCAUCUCCUGCCCAGGGAGCAGAGGGUGUGUAACACAGCCAGCAUUAUUCUAACAGCAUGGGGGUGACACUUCCCUGUGCUUCAAAUUGCUGCGAUCAAAGCUUCUGCACCACUGACACACAGGAAGGCUUAUGUAGGCUGCUUGCACUGCCCGUCCGUCCUGAAAAGGUCUGAAUUUCACUGCGGGACUCCGACCCCAAUAGCAGGGAGGUGUAAGUCUGCAAAUUCAUCCCAGGACUCGAGUGUUUGCUCAGCACUGUAAGUCUAGGUCAAACACAGAGCAAAACUGCCGGCCGCCUCAUUUAAAUAUUCAGUGAACACGGCAAAGAUUAACAUUUCCUCUCUUGAAUAUCUAAAUAUUUGCCCACAAUCCCCCUGCUAAUGAGCAAAGACAAGUGCUGGUAAGUGGCAAGCAGCAUUAAGCCUAGAGUCAAUCAAAUGAGCCCAACAGGCCCUUCAGCACCACCACAAGGCCCAUGCGAGCUAAAUUCAAAGCUGGUGGCUUGCAAAUGGCCCUUCUCUCCCGCUAACUCUCCCCCCCACCAUACAUCCACACACAUUCCUCCCUCUUUCCUCUCCACCCCCUUUUCCGCUCCAUAACCCACUCGGGGGCAUAAAAAACUGGUACUGAGAAACCUGCCAACUGCUUUAGACUUUGGAACACAGGCUCUGCUCUUGUCAGCUCGGAGCCUUCCACACAAUGGAAAACAUUACACAUUUCACUAGCUAACGACCACGCUGCUCAUUUACAUGUCGUAGGCAAAUACUAACAAGGUCGCAGCCAGAAAAGUGCGGUCAGGAGCUGCUACUGCUCCUGGCAAGGGGUUAGUGCCUGGAAAAGGGCUGCACGGGAAGCUCUUUAAACACCUUGGAACAUGUGCUAAGCUGCUGAAGUAUGAGGUGUGGUGACAGCAAGGUGUUGAAACAGCACUUUUAAAAGCUGCCAGUCAUCAUUAACACAUCUCCGCAGAGCAUUGGCAGCCAAGUCAAAGCCAACACCUAGAGCAUCUUCUUGAAGGGUGGGUGGGGAGAACGGAAGAGGAAAGGGAGCAGGUGUGGGGAAGACAAAGGAAGCACACAGAAGUCAUGCGGAGGGGUUUUUCCCUCUUGCUAUCAUGCUCAGAGAUUCCCAUCCUUGUUCACAAAGAGGUAAUACAGAUUGCUGCUCUUCAUCAGCUCCUGCGUCAUUUGUCUGGCAACCCACAAGGGAAACCCUGAGCUACCCCUCCCUGCUUCUCUCUCUGAGAGCUUCUGACACUUUGGGGAUCAGGUGGUCCUGUUCUUGGUUUUGUGAAGCACCUACCCCAAGGCUAGGGGCAGCAUGAUUAACCAAAAGCUGCUGAGACGCCAGCAGAGGGCUGUUGGCUUGAGCAGCAGGGCUACUGGCAGAAACUUCUCUGUGCCAUGGAGGAGAAAGUCCAUGAGCACAGGAGAGCCCAAGAGCAGCUGCUAGCUGGAGAGGCAGAGUAACAGCAGUGUUCUCAUCUCCUGCUCUCCUACUGCUCCUGGGUCCCCUGCAAACAGACACAACCCAAAUUGUCACACUUGCCACUUUUUUUGUUCAACAGUUUUUCCUUUUUUUUUUUCCUUUUGACAAAAUUUUGACUGAUGUCUUUUCCAGUUGCACACUUCCUGAGAUUAAUUUCAACUUUAUAGGAAUUCCUCCCUUCUCUCUGACUUUAUAUAUCCAAUCACUUUACAGAAGAGUCAAGCCACCAGGAGAAAAUCUUGGGCAGAACUGCACCAGGCAUGAUGUUUUUCCUAGUACAAACACCAAGAAACAAACAAAAAGAAACCUAAAAACAAUAAACAAUAAUAAAGUUUCUAAUACUACAAAGUAGUUAGAUAGGAAAAUUUGUGUGAAUUAAAAGCAAACAGACAUAACGAAAUACAAUUCUAUGUUCUAAGAGUCUAAAACUAUCAUGCAUCAAAAUCUUAAAUAUUUAUUUGAAAUUAUGCACCCUACUUAUUCCAUAUUCUAAACCUGUGCAGCAGAGAGGCUGUAAUUGUAAUGGAUUUAAUAAAAGCUAUCAUAUUCCAUAAUUCAGCAGGAAGGAUUAUGCAUAGCCCCUAGAUGUGACUAAGAAUAGCUAAGUUUCUUCUUGUUGGUGAUUGUUCUAAGAACUAAAAUAAAAAAAUUAUCUCUCUCUCCUGCUCCUUUUGCUCCCUCAAGUACUCAAGAAGCCCCAUGCCCCACUGCUAGGCAGAAUGCUCUGUUCCCCUCUCUUUAAUGAGCUUCAGAGCAGUUGAUUCAUUAACCCUUAGCAAGCACAGGCUUCCUCAAUAUUAGGCAAAUUUUACCCCCAGCUUUCCAGGAUGUUGCUGUAAGUGAACAUCGGUACCAGCCUGACUGCCUAAGAAACAACUCUUUUUCUGUGACUGUGCUGCCAGCACGUUUGCUGAUUUACCUCCUCAUCGUGUAACUUUGGAGUCCAUGGUCCAAGCUUGGGCAAAUCUGACAGGGGGCAGAAUUUCAAAUGAGUUUCCCAAAUGAAGGCAAGGCAGCUAAAACCCAGCAGCUUACCUGUCACGAGUAGCAGGUCCCUCCCCAAAGGCUCCAGACUUCUGUGCUUUGCCCAGCCCAGCGCAAUGGGGGACGCAGCAAGGACAGAGAUGUCCCUGGCCAUCUGCUUGGAAGACACAAGCUACAAGUCCGUGGGGCUUCACUAAAUCCGCGGCUUCACUAAAUCUGCUGCUCAUGAAAAAACUUGUUUCUUUCUUCUUCUUUUUUUUUUUUUUUUUUUUUUCCUAAAACUGAAGCACUAAAAGAUUAGAGAAAGCCAGAUAUUUUAAAGAGACAUCAUGGGGACUAUGUACUUAAUUACUUUU